GAUGAACGCUGGCGGCGUGCUUAACACAUGCAAGUCGAACGGUGAAGCCCAGCUUGCUGGGUGGACUAGUGGCGAACGGGUGAGUAACACAUGAGUAACCUCCCCUUGACUCUGGGAUAAGUCUGGGAAACUGGGCCUAUUACUCGAUAUGUCUUCUCAUCGCAUGGGGGGGGGUGGGGAGAUUUCUUGGUCUUGGAUGGACUCGCGGCCUAUCAGCUUGUUGGUGUGGUAAUGGCUCACCAAGGCGACGACGGGUAGCCGGCCUGAGAGGGUGACCGGCCACACUGGGACUGAGACACGGCCCAGACUCCUACGGGAGGCAGCAGUGGGGAAUAUUGCACAAUGGGCGCAAGCCUGAUGCAGCGACGCCGCGUGAGGGAUGACGGCCUUCGGGUUGUAAACCUCUUUCAGUAGGGAAGAAGCGAGAGUGACGGUACCUGCAGAAGAAGCGCCGGCUAACUACGUG
This 466-nucleotide ribosomal RNA is filed under the name uncultured bacterium. RNAcentral describes it as "partial 16S ribosomal RNA". It matches the Rfam family "Bacterial small subunit ribosomal RNA", at positions 28 to 507 of the family's 1533-position model. The record is from RNAcentral.